Molecule: long non-coding RNA, 236 nt
Organism: Pieris rapae (cabbage white)
Lineage: Eukaryota; Metazoa; Arthropoda; Insecta; Lepidoptera; Pieridae
Exons: 2
Source: RefSeq, a predicted model, not a curated record
UGCAUCAAGAGGACGACCUUAAAAUGAGACUGUUAAACUAUAUACUAUCAUUAAUUGUAUUAGUAUUUAUUUUUGGACACAGUGAAGGAAAUCCCAAAAUAAAUUGGAAUGCAGUCAAAAAAGGCGGGAAAUAUGCAAAACGCGGCCUUGGUGCAGUCGGCCUUUUGACUCAAGCUCAUGACUUUUACGAAAAUCAUAAACAUAAUUAGUUUAAGACAAUAAAUACUUGCAUGAUU